RNAcentral lists this ribosomal RNA (450 nucleotides) under uncultured bacterium. RNAcentral's name for it is "partial 16S ribosomal RNA". It matches the Rfam family "Bacterial small subunit ribosomal RNA", at positions 338 to 795 of the family's 1533-position model. The record is from RNAcentral.
CCUACGGGUGGCUGCAGUAGGGAAUAUUGGGCAAUGGACGCAAGUCUGACCCAGCCACGCCGCGUGAAGGAUGACUGCCCUAUGGGUUGUAAACUUCUUUUGUAUGGGAAGAAACCUCCGAACGUGUUCGGAGCUGACGGUACCAUAAGAAUAAGCAUCGGCUAACUCCGUGCCAGCAGCCGCGGUACUACGGAGGAUGCAGGCGUCAUCGGGAUUAAUUGGGGUGUAGGGGGAGAUUGAAGGCGGUGGUGAAAGCUCGCAGCUUAACUGUGAAAAUGCCAUUGAAACUGAUUUUCUUGAGUUCGAUUGAGGUAGAUGGAAUGUAUCAUGUAGCGGUGAAAUGCUUAGAUAUGAUACAGAACACCAAUUGCGAAGGCAGUCUACUAAGUCGAUACUGACGCUGAGGCACGAAAGCAUGGGGAGCAAACAGGAUUAGAUACCCCUGUAGUC